RNAcentral lists this ribosomal RNA (253 nucleotides) under uncultured bacterium. RNAcentral describes it as "partial 16S ribosomal RNA". It matches the Rfam family "Bacterial small subunit ribosomal RNA", at positions 524 to 776 of the family's 1533-position model. The record is from RNAcentral.
UACGAAGGGGGCUAGCGUUGUUCGGAAUUACUGGGCGUAAAGCGCGCGCAGGCGGUCUUCCAAGUCAGUGGUGAAAUCCCAGAGCUCAACUCUGGAACUGCCUUUGAUACUGUCGAUCUGGAGUAUGGAAGAGGUGAGUGGAAUUCCGAGUGUAGAGGUGAAAUUCGUAGAUAUUCGGAGGAACACCAGUGGCGAAGGCGGCUCACUGGUCCAUUACUGACGCUGAGGUGCGAAAGCGUGGGGAGCAAACAGG